Gallus gallus (chicken) is the source of this 2213-nucleotide long non-coding RNA. NCBI's taxonomy places the organism in Eukaryota, Metazoa, Chordata, Aves, Galliformes, Phasianidae. The record is from Ensembl.
UCCUUUCCCCAUGUGCUCAAUCAGCGGUUCUAGGCCGUGACUCAGCAGUUACCAAACUAGUAGUCAGCAAGGGCCAUGACUUGGUGCAUGUGUUGAUACUACCCAGAGCUGCAAACCACUCCCAGGGGAGAUGGCUUUUCCAUGCUUCCAGGGGGACCCUUCCACAGCACCAUUUCCAUAGUCUUCCAAGCCACACCUGGCAAACUGAAGCAAAUGCUGCAGCUUUAACUCUCAAAAGCUCAAUGCAAUUUGCUGCACCAUUUUUUGCUUCUGCCUGUUUGUUGGACGUUACUUGGUACAUCCUGGAAUUUCAACUGUGUAUGCAGGGGAAAAAAAAAAAACCACCACAAAAAAACCCAGCACAGAGUAUUACUUAGGAUGCAGUUUCACAGGCAGUUCAAAUCACUAUAAAAUUGCUUGAUCCUGAGAGCAAAGGUCAUAGCCUCACAUUGCUCGCAUACUCCUUCCCUCUCUCACGCUUUUCUUCUGAAAUCACAAGGCUAAGGGAUGAGUCCAGAUCAGAGUGCUAAUCUAGCAGUCUUUUUAGAGCUGUCUUUUUAGAGCUGGUGUUCAUUUGGAUUGGCAAAUGGCUGCAUUCCUCAUCUAAUCUGACCUUUUAAAAAAGCAUUUGCUAACACUGAAUUCAUCUUCUAAGAUUUACAGCGUACUAUCCAUCCCUGUUGCCGCAAUAGCAAACGCUCUGUCAGAUUCUCUCUGUUUAUGAUUCUGUGCCACAUCUCCAAGUUGCAUCCAACAUGAAGAAACAAUUUACCCUCAUGCAGGUACAGGAGCCUGAUAGGAACAUACUGACCUAAGACUGCUGCUCCAGAAGGAAUGCUGUGGCCUUUUCUUUGAUGCACCUUGAGAUUAUGCCUUGGGUGUAUCUAAAAGGACAGAGAAGCUGCUCGUUUGUAAGGUUCUAUAAGUGAAAGCUGAAGUCAGAAUAAAGGUUUCCUUUCUGCCAUGAGAAAGGGUGGAUUGUCAACCACGUGGAAACUACUAGCAUUAUCCAUACUCUGAGGAAACGGCCUAGAAGCAGACUGGGACAGCAGAAACCAGCGUAGGGGGUAGGCUCACUUAACUACAAAAUGUGUUUUCAGAUUCUGCUGAUGCAAUGGAGUCUCCAAAGCCUUUUGAGGCUAGCAUUUCCCUUUUCUGGUGGCUGAGAUGGGACAGGCAGUGCCCUACAGACACAUCCUAAGUGUCUGGCAUACUCACAUUUCCUUUUGAUGGUUUUCACAUGCAGCAGAAUCUGGUGUUCUGGCGGAAGAAAAGCCUGAUAAUAAACAUAGAGAGAAAUAGCCUGUUGAAUCCUUUCAGAGCCAAAAUAAUGCAUGACUUCAUGCAGGCUCCUUUCUUAUUCCUUCUUUGUGCUCAUUUACCCACCAGAAGAGCAAACCACCCCCCACUGUCACCAAGUGGAUUACAGAUUUCACUAAAACAUGGACAUCCACUUCAAGGUUUGAUGGUAUUUAGGACUAAAUUCAGAGCUCCAUGCGCAUCAGCCCAGCCGGUCAGAGCUCUGAGAUCACUGCAGGAGCCAGAGAUACUUACCAUCCACAGGCCAUCAAGGUUGAAAGAAGUCAUUCAUGGAAGAGUCAGAAGCAUCACAUGUAUAUGUGGAUAUAAGGAAGUCUCAAUACCCACAGAAGCCAGUUGUUAGUGCUUCUCGGCAAUGAGAGAAUUGUUUCCAUACUGCUAUUCAGUUCCUUUUGCAUACAGUAUAGUGAAUCUUAUCCUCACAUUCAUGCACAGUUGAAGGCUAAUCAAGAUCUCAUAAGUUACCAGGCCUCUUACUGUUAUUGAAUUUCCCUCCAUUUCUUAUCUUGAGUAGCUAUUAUAAUUCCAAGUAUUCAAGGGAAUGUCACUCAAAAAAGAUAAGGUAAUAAGCCAUUGAUAUAGGACCCUUGUACUUAGAUUUCAGCAUACCUAGCUCCCUGUUUAUAUUAUUAACCAUGGCAGAAAAAAAAAGGGGGGUUUUAAAUUACCCAACACUUCCUUCUCAAACAGUGUGUGGAGUAGAAAUUGCUCAGCAGAUGUCAUCUAUCCUUCUUCACCAACAGAAAAGAUUUUGGGGGGGCAAUUUUGCCUGUUUUCCUAAGGAAUGCAGAUUCUGAGGGGAGAUGGUCACCCCCAAAUGCCUCCAUUGACAUAUAUCCAUCUCAGAUCUUUGAAAGGAGAAAUUAAUUGCUUGAGUCUGUUUGACUAAGCUU